GAGGUCCGACCUGCCCAGUGAUAUUAAUUCAACGGCCGCGGUAUUCUGACCGUGCUAAGGUAGCACAAUCACUUGUCUCUUAAAUGGGGACUAGUAUGAAAGGCCCCACGAGGGUCUGACUGUCUCCUUUUUUUAAUCUGUGAAACUAAUCUCCCCGUGAAGAAGCGGGGAUUACUAUAUAAGACGAGAAGACCCUAUGGAGCUUUAGACGAAACAAUAUAUUUCCCCCCCCUCCCUACUAUUUCAGAAAAUCAACUAUCAAGGAAUCUUAUUGCUAGUCUUUGGUUGGGGCGGCCGCGGAGAAAAACUUAUCCUCCACGAUGAGUGGGAACUUCCCAUAAUAAAGAGCCACAGCUCAAUGUAUCAAAAAAAUUGACAAAUGACCCAAUAUUUGAUCAACGAAACAAGGUUACCCUAGGGAUAAACAGCGCAAUCUACUUCAAAGAAGAACUUUUAAUAGCU
This 462-nucleotide ribosomal RNA is filed under the name Ischnocnema aff. guentheri 4 MG-2013. Its description in RNAcentral is "partial 16S ribosomal RNA". It matches the Rfam family "Bacterial large subunit ribosomal RNA", at positions 1849 to 2514 of the family's 2925-position model. The record is from RNAcentral. Lineage: Eukaryota; Metazoa; Chordata; Amphibia; Anura; Brachycephalidae.